Molecule: long non-coding RNA, 248 nt
Organism: Gekko japonicus
Lineage: Eukaryota; Metazoa; Chordata; Lepidosauria; Squamata; Gekkonidae
Exons: 3
Source: RefSeq, a predicted model, not a curated record
CUGUCGGAUUUGGAAAGUGAUGCAGAUGUGGUGUCUGAAAUUGAGAUGGAACCUGAAGUUGAGGAUGUGUCAGAGGCUGAAAUGGACUCAGAGAAUAACGAGCCACCUGUGAAGACAGCAGCAUUUGUACGCAGAAAAGCCUUCCAGUGUACCUCAUUGCUGUCCAGCCCACACACUCCGAAAGCUGUCUCCAAGUCUGCUUCCAAACAGCCCUCAAAGAAACAGGUUCCAAAAGAAUCCAAGAAGGC